AUACGUAGGGUGCAAGCGUUGUUCGGAAACACUGGGCGUAAAGGGCGUGUAGGCGGAGAAGUAAGCCAGAGGUGAAAGCCCGGGGCUCAACCCCGGAGGGUCUUUUGGAACUGCUUUUCUUGAGAGGGUUAGAGGUUAGCGGAAUUCCUGGUGUAGCGGUGAAAUGCGUAGAUAUCAGGAGGAACACCGGAGGCGAAAGCGGCUAACUGGGGCCAAUCUGACGCUGAGGCGCGAAAGCAUGGGGAGCAAACGGGAUUAGAAACCCCAGUAGUCC
RNAcentral lists this ribosomal RNA (274 nucleotides) under uncultured bacterium. Its description in RNAcentral is "partial 16S ribosomal RNA". It matches the Rfam family "Bacterial small subunit ribosomal RNA", at positions 523 to 796 of the family's 1533-position model. The record is from RNAcentral.